This 799-nucleotide ribosomal RNA is filed under the name uncultured bacterium. RNAcentral's name for it is "bacterial SSU rRNA". It matches the Rfam family "Bacterial small subunit ribosomal RNA", at positions 77 to 893 of the family's 1533-position model. The record is from RNAcentral.
UGGAUUUAAAACAGCUUAGUGGCGGACGGGUGAGUAACGCGUGGGUAACCUGCCUCACACUGGGGGAUAACAGUUAGAAAUAGCUGCUAAUACCGCAUAAGCGCACGGUUCCGCAUGGAACAGUGUGAAAAACUCCGGUGGUGUGAGAUGGACCCGCGUCUGAUUAGCCAGUUGGCGGGGUAACGGCCCACCAAAGCGACGAUCAGUAGCCGGCCUGAGAGGGUGAACGGCCACAUUGGGACUGAGACACGGCCCAAACUCCUACGGGAGGCAGCAGUGGGGAAUAUUGCACAAUGGGGGAAACCCUGAUGCAGCGACGCCGCGUGAGUGAAGAAGUAUUUCGGUAUGUAAAGCUCUAUCAGCAGGGAAGAAAGUGACGGUACCUGAAUAAGAAGCCCCGGCUAACUACGUGCCAGCAGCCGCGGUAAUACGUAGGGGGCAAGCGUUAUCCGGAUUUACUGGGCGUAAAGGGAGCGUAGACGGCAAGGCAAGUCUGAAGUGAAAGCCCGGUGCUUAACGCCGGGACUGCUUUGGAAACUGUUUGGCUGGAGUGCCGGAGAGGUAAGCGGAAUUCCUAGUGUAGCGGUGAAAUGCGUAGAUAUUAGGAAGAACACCAGUGGCGAAGGCGGCUUACUGGACGGUAACUGACGUUGAGGCUCGAAAGCGUGGGGAGCAAACAGGAUUAGAUACCCUGGUAGUCCACGCCGUAAACGAUGAUUGCUAGGUGUAGGUGGGUAUGGACCCAUCGGUGCCGCAGCUAACGCAAUAAGCAAUCCACCUGGGGAGUACGUUCGCAAGA